CUGUGUCUUGCUUCAACAGUGUUUGGACGGAACUG
Pan troglodytes (chimpanzee) is the source of this 35-nucleotide regulatory RNA element. It matches the Rfam family "Iron response element I". The record is from Rfam. Lineage: Eukaryota; Metazoa; Chordata; Mammalia; Primates; Hominidae.